RNAcentral lists this ribosomal RNA (450 nucleotides) under uncultured bacterium. RNAcentral describes it as "bacterial SSU rRNA". It matches the Rfam family "Bacterial small subunit ribosomal RNA", at positions 944 to 1398 of the family's 1533-position model. The record is from RNAcentral.
GAUUAAUUCGAUGCAACGCGAAUAACCUUACCUACCCUUGACAUGUCCGGAAGCCUGGUGAGAGCUGGGUGUGCCCGAAAGGGAACUGGAACACAGGUGCUGCAUGGCUGUCGUCAGCUCGUGUCGUGAGAUGUUGGGUUAAGUCCCGCAACGAGCGCAACCCUUAUCAUUAGUUGCUACGCAAGGGCACUCUAAUGAGACUGCCGGUGACAAACCGGAGGAAGGUGGGGAUGACGUCAAGUCCUCAUGGCCCUUAUGGGUAGGGCUUCACACGUCAUACAAUGGCCGGUACAGAGGGUUGCCAACCCGCGAGGGGGAGCCAAUCCCAGAAAGCCGGUCGUAGUCCGGAUUGCAGUCUGCAACUCGACUGCAUGAAGUCGGAAUCGCUAGUAAUCGCGGAUCAGCAUGUCGCGGUGAAUACGUUCCCGGGUCUUGUACACACCGCCCGUC